Dipodomys ordii (Ord's kangaroo rat) is the source of this 75-nucleotide microRNA precursor. The record is from Ensembl. Lineage: Eukaryota; Metazoa; Chordata; Mammalia; Rodentia; Heteromyidae.
GGGGCUGGGAAGGUGGCUCAGAAGUAGAGUGCUUGGCUUGAAUGCAUGAAGCCCUGGGUUUGAAUCCUCAGUACC